Long non-coding RNA from Triticum aestivum (bread wheat), 3495 nucleotides. RefSeq lists it as uncharacterized. The record is from RefSeq and is a predicted model, not a curated record. NCBI's taxonomy places the organism in Eukaryota, Viridiplantae, Streptophyta, Magnoliopsida, Poales, Poaceae. The transcript has 3 exons.
CAUGCAAUACCCCUCUUCUCUGUCAUGCCUAUUCUUUAUCCAUCUAAAAAAUACCCUAGCAGCAGCCAUCGUCGUAGGCCUCCGCCGCCAGCCAACAACGGAGCACCGGCCGCCAGCUCCCUGCUCUCCGCCUCCCUGGAACGUCGGAUCUUGCCACCAUCCCAAACUCGCCGGCUCUCCCCACCCCCAAGGUCACAUCUCUCCCAGGCUCCCCUCCAACCCUGAGUUCCUCGCAUAGGGCACAGACUGAAACAAGCGUGUGGAUCCAAGGCAUGCCGCCCCUCCUCCGACUAGCCAACCAUGGUGGCGUGGUUCCUCAUGCGGUCCUCCUCCGACCAGCAAAUCAUAGCGGCGUGGUUCGUCUGACUUGCGCAGGGGCUCUUCUCUCCCAUCGAUCGGCGCCUCGACUUCGAAUCCUACAGCCGGCACCUCGACUUCAGCUUGCACAGACCAGCAUCCUUUGUUGCCAGAUCUUAACCACACCGAGUUCCUCCGGCCGUCGUCGUGAACCUCCAAGCAGAUAAGCCAACCUUCAUGUGUAUUUCCCGUUAUAUCUCCACACUCUAUUCCUCGCUGUUUAUUUUUCAGGAAGAAGGUGGAUUAGUGGCUAUUUCCAGUAUGUAGAUGGGAUGGCAAUGGCUCUUCCUUGGUUGAAGGAUGCAAUGCAUCUCGCUGAAUUCCAAGCUGUAUUAUUUUGGGUCUACCUAGAUACCCAAGCAGGGGAGAUAAAGGCUGCAAUUUGGGUGGAAAUCUAGGGAGACAAUUCUCGGUUUAGGUGGUCGUGAAGGGCGACUAAAAGAAGUCCAUCAUCACAUCAAGUUUUUUGAAAUUUGGGGACUAAAAUCAGAUCAAGAUGCAUUUGCCUGAAUAUAAAAUAUAAGGCAAAAAAGCCAAUAUAAAGAGAAGGAGAAAAAAACUGUUCCAAAGGAUAUAGCUACACUUCACAGCACUGGGAUUGUGGAUGUUGAUACAAAUUGGAUGUGCUUCUGUGUAGUCCCAAGUCAAGCAAUUUCUCACUGAUGUGUCACGCAAAGAUUUUUUUUCCAAAAGGCAAAGAUUCAUAGCUAGCAGUUUAUCAGCUGAUGACUCUUGCUUUGUUGAUUGUUGUGCUUAAUCAAUAUCCUUACAGGUAACUCGCAAGCCACUGUGAUCCAAUAUGAUGUUUGUUCAAUGCAUAACAUAAUUUGUCUAUGUGCAAUGCCCCAUGCUAUAUCCAAUUUUUCUUUCUAUGCUUGCACAUGUCUGAAGUCCAGACCCAGAGAGCUGCUUUUAAUUAUGUUGGCUAUGCAUGCAUGUAAUGCGUGCUGUAUAGCUAUUUAAGUAGAGGGUUCACUGUAUACUUUGCACAUGCCAUUUCCAACCUCUUUGGAAGCACGUAUGUCAACCUGCUACUAACUUAAACAUUUUAUAUUCUAUUUAUUUAUUCAUUAUUUUGGAACAAUUUCUGGGUAUACGAGGACGUACCAAGUCAGACAGAACUAAUUUGUGAACCCAAGUUAGUUGCGCAACCAGACCUGAUUUCUAAUAGACUUUAAGGCUUUAAUAGACACUGAAACAUUUUUCCUCUAAUCAGUGUAGAAGUAUUUGCUCUUGCCGCAAAAAAGGUUGCAUUACCCUAGAUUAUAUGUGAAAAUUUAGUUAGCUUAUUUGUAUAUCAAUUGUCAUGAAUUAAGCUAUGUAAUAAUCUGAAAAGAAAAUGCAUAGAGACAAGUACAAAGUAAUGUGGAUUCAAACUGCGCCGGUUAUAUAUUAAGAUUAUUACACCACCAGGAUUGCAUAUAGUAAUUUGAGAUUCAAUUAGUAGUUUGGCCAUUUAGUGUUUCCUAUUAUUAUGUGGGGUAGUAAUUUUCACAUAUGCUUAUACUAUAAUCUCUACACAUUUUAAAAUCCUAUAUUAUAUAUAUGUUUUACUGCUACAUUUUCUCUUCCUUAUUGAAUUCUAAAUUCUGAUCGAACCCAAAUGAAAAUCAUUGACAUGAUUAAAAGUAGUGAAUAUUGUGGUUUCCUUUCCAUGGCUAUUAUUUUCUGUUCAGUUCUCAUUGUUCAAUUCUACAACCGAAUGUUUUCACUAUGAAUUCUUCAAUUCCUAUUUCUCAUUUCUUACACUACUGUUGUGUGGUAUCACGUGACAAGAAGUUGCACAUAUUGUAGCAAACACAAACACCAGCCCAUGGGAAUGCACGGGUUCACAACUAAGCUAGGUUUUGGACAGUGUUACGUCCUUCCAACCAAUUAAUCAUUUUCUCUUCUAAGCGCAUACAGGUAGGAGGUGAAAAUAUCUACCAAUUUAUCACCGAAUCUCUUUUCUUGCUUAUAGUCCCUCUGUUCCUAAAUAUAAGUCUUAGAGAUUACACUAUAGACUACAUACGGAAUAAAAUGAGAACAUAUAAUUUAAAAGGCGUCUUUAUACAUUCGAAUGUAGUCUAUAUAGUGGAAUAUCUAAAAAGACUUAUAUUUAGGAAUGGAGGAAGUAUAUCGCAUGAAGUAUGCGGGACGCAGUUGUGGCACAUUAGUUUCACCAUAAAAGCAUAUACAACUCAAUGUACAUAUAUACAUGGAGAGUGGAUUUUUUUGCUCUUGGGCUAAUAAAAAAAUAACCUUUUAUGUUUUAGAAAAACUGCAAAUAAAUACAGGUACCUAUCGUGAAACUACUAAAUACACAGGUACUAUACACAAAAAAUGUCGACUAGAUGUGUGUGAAAUAUCAUCACGAAAUAAUUUUUGAUGUGAGCUGUACAAAAAGAAGUCAUGUGGUUUUAUAGUGAAUAGUACAUGUGCUUGAAAUAUGUGAUUUUGUCAUUUUUGUGUAGCUUGCAUAAAAAAGUAUUUCGCCAAGAAACUUUGUAGUCAAGUAGUAGACCAUCCAUAUGUAUGUGUGUACUUUCUUUACCUAAAAAAUAGUUUUUUCAAAAUUUCAAAUUAGGGCCUCCAUGGAGCUUGAGCUCUAUUAGGAAUUGCCUAUGCAUGUUGUUAUUUUAAUUUUAGUCUUUUCCCUAGCAAUUCGACAUGUCUCAUUCUUUAUCAUCACCAAUUACAAAUAAAUGACAGAAGAGAGAAUGUCACAUGAAAAUCACUAGAUAAGGUUAUUUUGGGCAUAGCUAAUUAAUUAGAUGGGCAUGUGAAUCCAGAUUUGAUGGAUGUUCAAUUGCUACAUCACUUCUAUUAUUGUAUUCUUACUAUCCUACCGUGAUGACUGGAGAUGGCAGGUUUGUGGAGAAGAUGUCCCAUGACAACACAAUCCAGUGCAUAAUUGCUUUAGCAGCCGGAAAAAGAGUCAAGAUGCAGCGAUGCAGUGUCAAGUGAGCAAUGGCAUGGCAUGAGCAAUUGCGGGGCCAGAUGCGAGCGCCACUGCUGUCCCACAAUGAACAAGUUAUUCUGCUGUUUAUGAUCAAGGCAUUGUUUGAUAAGGAAACCCAUUUGCUUCUGAACUAAUCCACGUGGCAACUUCCAUGGUUCAUCUAAUAUAAUUUUGAAAGCAAUCUGAUACAACCUCAA